RNAcentral lists this ribosomal RNA (2195 nucleotides) under Oleiphilus sp. HI0067. Its description in RNAcentral is "bacterial LSU rRNA". It matches the Rfam family "Bacterial large subunit ribosomal RNA", at positions 734 to 2912 of the family's 2925-position model. Lineage: Bacteria; Pseudomonadati; Pseudomonadota; Gammaproteobacteria; Oceanospirillales; Oleiphilaceae. The record is from RNAcentral.
CCACGAGCAGGUUGAAGGUUAGGUAACACUGACUGGAGGACCGAACCCACUGUCGUUGAAAAGCCAGGGGAUGACUUGUGGAUAGGAGUGAAAGGCUAAUCAAACUCGGAGAUAGCUGGUUCUCCUCGAAAGCUAUUUAGGUAGCGCCUCGUGUAUCACCCUAGGGGGUAGAGCACUGUUUGGGCUAGGGGGUCAUCCCGACUUACCAACCCCAUGCAAACUCCGAAUACCUAGGAGUGCGAGCACGGGAGACACACGGCGGGUGCUAACGUCCGUCGUGGAGAGGGCAACAACCCAGACCGCCAGCUAAGGUCCCAAAUUCAUAGUUAAGUGGGAAACGAUGUGGGAAGGCUUAGACAGCUAGGAGGUUGGCUUAGAAGCAGCCACCCUUUAAAGAAAGCGUAAUAGCUCACUAGUCGAGUCGGCCUGCGCGGAAGAUUUAACGGGGCUCAAACUAUGAACCGAAGCUGCGGAUAUAGAUUUAUCUAUAUGGUAGAGGAGCGUUCUGUACGCUGUUGAAGGUGAAUCGAGAGGUUUGCUGGAGGUAUCAGAAGUGCGAAUGCUGACAUGAGUAACGAUAAGGGGGGUGAAAAACCUCCCCGCCGGAAGACCAAGGGUUCCUGCGCAACGCUAAUCGGCGCAGGGUGAGUCGGCCCCUAAGGCGAGGCUGAGAAGCGUAGUCGAUGGGAAACAGGUUAAUAUUCCUGUACUUCUUUAUAUUGCGAUGGAGAGACGGAGAAAGCUAGGCCAGCAUGGCGAUGGUUGUCCAUGUUUAAGGUUGUAGGCUGGGGACUUAGGCAAAUCCGGGUCCCUAAGGCUGAGAACUGAUGACGAGAUCCUACGGGAUUGAAGUGGUUGAUGCUCUGCUUCCAGGAAAAACUUCUAAGCUUCAGAUAUAAAGGAACCGUACCCCAAACCGACACAGGUGGUCAGGUAGAGAAUACCAAGGCGCUUGAGAGAACUCGGGUGAAGGAACUAGGCAAAAUGGUACCGUAACUUCGGGAGAAGGUACGCUGCUGCCGGUGAUGGGACUUGCUCCCUAAGCUAGCGGCAGUCGAAGAUACCAGUUAGCUGCGACUGUUUAUUAAAAACACAGCACUCUGCAAACUCGAAAGAGGACGUAUAGGGUGUGACACCUGCCCGGUGCCGGAAGGUUAAUUGAUGGGGUUAGCGUAUGCGAAGCUCUUGAUCGAAGCCCCGGUAAACGGCGGCCGUAACUAUAACGGUCCUAAGGUAGCGAAAUUCCUUGUCGGGUAAGUUCCGACCUGCACGAAUGGUGUAACGAUGGCUAAGCUGUCUCCACCCGAGACUCAGUGAAAUUGAAAUCGCUGUUAAGAUGCAGCGUAUCCGCGGCUAGACGGAAAGACCCCGUGAACCUUUACUACAGCUUCACAGUGAACUUUGAGCCUAUUUGUGUAGGAUAGGUGGGAGGCUUUGAAACAUGCACGCCAGUGUGUGUGGAGCCAUCCUUGAAAUACCACCCUGGUAUGUUUGAGGUUCUAACUCUGGUCCCUUAUCGGGAUCGAGGACACUGUGUGGUGGGUAGUUUGACUGGGGCGGUCUCCUCCCAAAGAGUAACGGAGGAGCACGAAGGUGCGCUAAGCAUGGUCGGACAUCAUGCGGUUAGUGUAAUGGCAUAAGCGCGCUUAACUGCGAGACAGACACGUCGAGCAGGUACGAAAGUAGGUCAUAGUGAUCCGGUGGUUCUGUAUGGAAGGGCCAUCGCUCAACGGAUAAAAGGUACUCCGGGGAUAACAGGCUGAUACCGCCCAAGAGUUCACAUCGACGGCGGUGUUUGGCACCUCGAUGUCGGCUCAUCACAUCCUGGGGCUGAAGCCGGUCCCAAGGGUAUGGCUGUUCGCCAUUUAAAGUGGUACGCGAGCUGGGUUUAGAACGUCGUGAGACAGUUCGGUCCCUAUCUGCCGUGGACGUUGGAAAAUUGAGAAGAGCUGCUCCUAGUACGAGAGGACCGGAGUGGACGAACCUCUGGUGUUCGGGUUGUGUCGCCAGACGCAUUGCCCGGUAGCUAUGUUCGGACAGGAUAACCGCUGAAAGCAUCUAAGCGGGAAGCCCCCUUCAAGAUAAGUUUUCCCUGAUUCCUUGAGAAUCCUAAAGGGCCCUUAAAGACUAUGAGGUUGAUAGGCAGGGUGUGUAAGCGUUGUGAGGCGUUGAGCUAACCUGUACUAAUUGCCCGU